Molecule: long non-coding RNA, 1586 nt
Filed under: Olea europaea subsp. europaea
Lineage: Eukaryota; Viridiplantae; Streptophyta; Magnoliopsida; Lamiales; Oleaceae
Source: RNAcentral
AGGAGGUACCUCUGGAUCAACUGUGAUACGAGUAGAGGUAGGAACUGUCGAUGCAGAUUCUGACUCUGUCACAACUGCGGUAGUAGUAGUGGGAAGCACAGAAGGCACUGCUGAAACUGGAACCCAUUGCUUCUUUGGCUCCACAAACGUCACCUUGCCCUUAUCCUUAUCAGUCCUAGUAAUAGGGGGCCGAACAGGGGGGUGCACAACAACUGCAGGAGGAGGAGGAGGAGGAACCGUAGUACACUGAUCAUAAGAAUGACCCAAGUGUUUACAAGAGAAGCAAAAAAUCGGCCGCUUCUCAUAGAUAACUGUCUGCCAGAAGCCACGGUUACCAGCACGCUCAAUCCAAACCCUGUCGGGCAACUUAUGCCCCAAGUUCACCUCAAUGCACACCCUUGCCUCACUAGGUCGUCUCAAGUCGGUGGUGGCCUCAUCAAUUCUCAAGGGCAUUCCUAUUGCCCCAGAUAAAGCGAAAAGGAACCCUUUCGCACGUAAAUGUACUGGAAGCAGAGGGAACGAUACCCAUACGGGAACUAUCGGAGUCUCUUGCUCAGGUGUAAAGUCACAUGUCCACUUAAGGACUCUCAUCAGACAACCAUCAAUAUACCAUGAAGGUUUAAGAAAAAGCCUGCUGUAAUCCUCUUCAUGUGUAAGGUGUAUAAGAAUGUGUGUUGUGUCAAUCAAUCCCACCUCGAAACAACCAUGGAACCCAAACUUAGAAAAAUUCUCACGUACCUUCCUCAUGGUUGGCUUGCGAUGUGGAAAUUUCCCCACAAGUGUAUACUUGUAAGGAUCAGCGAGUGUAGCCUCCUCGGACUCAGUCAAAACUAUUGCCGGCUCACCCAUAUGUAUAAAGGGUUCUUUAGCAGCAAACCCAGCAGUGGAAGAGUCAUCUAUACCCUGUAUAACCGAUGCAAACGACUUUCGUGAACUCCGUUCAGCUUGAGACAGGCCCGGACGGCCAGAAACUACAGUAGCAUAGGUCUUUCGGCCCUGAUUGAGCACUGUCUGGGCCUCAUGUGGAAAAACCGAUGAUGGAAUUGGGUCCGUAACAAAAUUCCCCACAUUCUGGUGAAGUGUCACCGGCGCGUGACCACCACGCGCCGGCCGUUGACCGGCGGCGAUUUUCCAACGGUGUCAGAAAAUUAUGAUUUUUCACAGGCAGAUGCGGAAUUUGAUGCUGAUCAUCACGGUAUGUUCCGUUUUCCGAAAUGAGUUCAGGAUUGGCCGGAAUCUGCGAUUUUCCGAGUGACUGGCCGGAACUUGCGAUCGCCGGUAAGGGCGCGUCCGGCGUCAGAAUUGGAUGAUUUUUUAGUCGAAGGUUCGCCUUUUCAUGGGUAAUCUGAUGGUCAGGCGCGUGUCCCUGUUUGAGCUCUGUGGAAGGGUUAAUUGAAAAAUCAGUUUUCGGCCCCUCGGGAUUCGAUCUGUCAAUUUCGGGCGAUUUGGACGAAAUCUCUACCACCCCCAGGGUUUUCGGCCCUUCUGGAAUCAUUGGUGAUGGUCCCAUAUCCAAAUUCUGAUCAGAAGUGGGUGUUUCGACGACCUUGGGAUUCGUGCCAUGAUUUUUCAAACUCAGAUCUAUU